UACAGAGGUGGCAAGCGUUGUUCGGAUUUACUGGGCGUAAAGGGUGCGUAGGUGGUCUCCUAUGUCGAGUGUGAAAUCCCAAGGCUCAACCUUGGAAUUGCGCUCGAAACUGGGAGACUUGAGUGCAGGAAGGGAGAGCGGAAUUCUUGGUGUAGCGGUGAAAUGCGUUGAUAUCAAGAAGAACACCGGUGGCGAAGGCGGCUCUCUGGAAUGCUACUGACACUGAGGCACGAAAGCUGGGGGAGCAAACAGG
Molecule: ribosomal RNA, 253 nt
Filed under: uncultured bacterium
Lineage: Bacteria
Description: partial 16S ribosomal RNA
Rfam family: Bacterial small subunit ribosomal RNA
Source: RNAcentral